This 497-nucleotide ribosomal RNA is filed under the name uncultured bacterium. Its description in RNAcentral is "partial 16S ribosomal RNA". It matches the Rfam family "Bacterial small subunit ribosomal RNA", at positions 28 to 507 of the family's 1533-position model. The record is from RNAcentral.
GACGAACGCUGGCGGCGUGCCUAAUACAUGCAAGUAGAACGCUGAAGAGAGGAGCUUGCUCUUCUUGGAUGAGUUGCGAACGGGUGAGUAACGCGUAGGUAACCUGCCUUGUAGCGGGGGAUAACUAUUGGAAACGAUAGCUAAUACCGCAUAACAAUGGAUGACACAUGUCAUUUAUUUGAAAGGGGCAAUUGCUCCACUACAAGAUGGACCUGCGUUGUAUUAGCUAGUAGGUGAGGUAAUGGCUCACCUAGGCGACGAUACAUAGCCGACCUGAGAGGGUGAUCGGCCACACUGGGACUGAGACACGGCCCAGACUCCUACGGGAGGCAGCAGUAGGGAAGCUUCGGCAAUGGGGGCAACCCUGACCGAGCAACGCCGCGUGAGUGAAGAAGGUUUUCGGAUCGUAAAGCUCUGUUGUAAGUCAAGAACGGGUGUGAGAGUGGAAAGUUCACACUGUGACGGUAGCUGACCAGAAAGGGACGGCUAACUACGUG